UUAAUUUAAAAAUUAAUUAAUUAAUAAUUAAUAAAAGAAUUUUUAAUAAAAUUUUUAUUUAGUUGUUUUAGUAUAUUUUAUAGAAAAAAUUAAAAAAUUUAUAGUAAAUAAGUAUUGUGAAAGAAUUUUGAAAUAAGUGAAAAUUAAUUUAUAAAAAAGUAAUUUUAAUUUAAUGUAUCUUGUGUAUCAGAGUUUAUUAAUAAAAAUUUUUAUUUGAAAAUUUCUCGAAUUAAAAAGAGCUAUUAAAUUAAUAAAAUUAUUGUUUCAAAAAUAUUUUAAAUAAUUUAAUUGAAAUGAAAUGUUAAUCGUUUUUUAAGAUAUCUAGUUUUUUUAGAAAAAAAUUUAAUUUAUAAUUUUAAAAAUUAUAUAAUUUUUUAUUUAAUUAUUUAAUUUAAAAUUUAAAUAUUUUAAGGGAUAAGCUUUAAAAUAAAUUUUUAUAAGAAUAAGAAAAAAUUUAUUAAAAAUUUUAUAAUUUAUAUUGUUAAAUAAAUUUUAAUUUAUUAUAAAUAAUUUUAAUAAAAGAAAAAUUUAAAAAUAUUUCUUUAAUUUUUUAUAAAAAAAAAUAUAAUUAAUAAUAUAUUUUUAGUUAUAAUGAUAAAAUUAGUAUAUAAUAUUAAGUUAAUUAAAUUAAGAUAUAAAUUAUAAUUUAAGUUAAUUAUAAAGAAUUCGGCAAAUUUAAUUUAUUUAUAUUCACCUGUUUAUCAAAAACAUGUCUUUUUGUUAAUAAUUUAAAGUCUAAUCUGCCCACUGAAUAAAUUUGAAGGGCUGCAGUAUUUUGACUGUACAAAGGUAGCAUAAUCAUUAGUCUCUUAAUUGGUGACUUGUAUGAAUGAUUGGAUGAAAUAUAAGCUGUUUCUUAAUUAUUUAUAAAAUUUAAUUUUUUUAUUAAAAAGUAAAAAUGAAUUUAAAAGACGAGAAGACCCUAUAGAGUUUAAUAUAGUAAUUAAAUUAAAAAUUAUAUUUAAGAAGUUAAUUAAAUUUAUUUAUUAUAUUUUGUUGGGGUGAUAAGAAAAUUAAAAAAACUUUUUUAUAAAAUUUCCAUAGAUAAGUGAUUUUAUGAUCCAAUAUUAUUGAUUAAAAGAAAAAAUUACCUUAGGGAUAACAGCGUAAUUUUUUUUUCUAGUUCAAAUAGGAAAAAGAGUUUGCGACCUCGAUGUUGGAUUAAGAUAAAAUUUAAACGUAAAAGUUUAAAAUUUUGAUCUGUUCGAUCAUUAAAAUCUUACAUGAUCUGAGUUCAAACCGGUGUAAGCCAGGUUGGUUUCUAUCUUUAAAUUAAUAAAAUAUUUUAGUACGAAAGGACCAAAUAUUUGAAAUAACUUUUAUUUUUUGAAUUUUAUUAAAUUUAUUAAUAAAUUAAAAAUAAAAAUUUUUUUUUAAUUAAAA
RNAcentral lists this ribosomal RNA (1383 nucleotides) under Zygaena nevadensis interrupta. Its description in RNAcentral is "16S ribosomal RNA". Lineage: Eukaryota; Metazoa; Arthropoda; Insecta; Lepidoptera; Zygaenidae. The record is from RNAcentral.